AAAGCCCGAAUUCUUGGCCAAAACCCCCAAAACCGAAAGUUAUCAUCCGAGGUAAAGCUUCACAUAUUUGUCAAUAGAUAGCAUUAGAGCUUUGAAAUCCAAAAGGGCAGAUGUUCAUAUUCAUUCCAUGGCCUGUGGUAAACCCUCGAAAGUGACCAUUGUCGAGACUCGCGCGGGACUGUGGUGUGUGCACGCUUUCGAGCGCGCGAAAAAAAAGGCUGUAGUUUUUUCAAUUUUCAUCAAAAUCGAGUCAACCAAAAUGGAUAUUAUUCCUCAAGAGAAUUAGUUAUGAUCCCCGGAGAUCCUGCGGAGAUCUCAACGAUUCCUAGUGUGAAAAAGUAUAGAGAAUGUGAAACCGUUGGCAUCGCCUGCUCGUUUUUGCUCCAUUGGUCAAAAAUACGCAUUCUUUGAAGCAGUGUUUUGUCGACUCGGUCGGAGCCUCGUGGCCCGCCUCGUGGGAUUAGUGUAGCGGGGUAACGCAGACAACGUCAUUCAUCGAAACGACGUCGAUGAUGAGAAUUCAGAUAGCGAUUAGAAUUCGGGCUUUUGGACCACUGUGC
RNAcentral lists this long non-coding RNA (560 nucleotides) under Neodiprion lecontei (redheaded pine sawfly). RNAcentral's name for it is "uncharacterized LOC124294966". The record is from RNAcentral. Lineage: Eukaryota; Metazoa; Arthropoda; Insecta; Hymenoptera; Diprionidae.